CUUUGGGUUCUCUCUUAUCUUCUUCUUCUUAAUUGUCUCUUUAUCCCAAUCUGACGAUUUUUAAUCACUCGUAUUAUCAAUUAAUUCAAAAGAUGAUUAGUUGAUAAGUAGUAGAAGAAGAAGAAGAAGAAGAAGAUGAGAGAAAGAGACUCAAUAGAAAGAGAUUGUUCUGGUUUCCAUGCCAACAGGAAUAUGGGUUGAAGAUGAAGUUGGAAAGGGAAAGUUCAUCUUCCGGUUUUGUUUUCUUUUUUUUCAGUUAAAUGGAUUAAUAAUUUUCGCCAUUAAUUAAGCUUUUUUUCUCUUUCUCUUUCUUUUUUUUUUCUUUCUUUUUGAUAGCAACAAUUAACCUUCAAUGAAGAAACAUUGGUUUCUCUGGUUUUCCUCCAAUUACGGUGUAUUUUCAAUUGAUUGUUGGUUGAUUACUGUUUGAUUACAAUUGAUUUUCACCUUUUGUUAUUAUUUUCUCUCUCUCUCGUUGAUUACUGGUGUGUAUGUACAUUUACACUGAUACGAACACAGGUUUUAUUAUUUUUGUCUUUGUUAAUAUACUAACGUUACCAUUGGAACCCAAUAUUUCUCAUCAUUAUCAUCAUCAUCAUCAUCAUCAUCAUUCUCAUCAAUAAAUAAGUUUUAAAGGAAAGUAAAGUUUGCCUGAUGGAUCUGAUGAUGAUGUCAAGAAGAAGAAAAAAAAAAGAGUCAAAGUAAAGGUAGGUAGGUGGUAUAAAGGUACAUAAGGUAUAAUGGUAAGUUUUUUGGAGGAAGAAGAUGACGAAGAAAAAAAAGAAAAGGAAAAAGAAGAUGAAGAUAAAGAUGAUGAUGUUGAUGAUGAUGAGGAUGAUGAUGAUAAGGAUGAAGGAGCAGGAGGAUGAAAAUGAGGUUGAGGAGGAGUGAAAGAAGAAGGAAAACGAAGGAGGACAUUUUUUACAUGUUACAAAUGGAGAAUGUUGUUUCUUUCUCUCUCUCUCUCUCUUCCACCCUCAGUUCUAUCUCUAUCUCACUAUCUCACUAUCUCUAUCUCUAUCUUCCUCUUUUUCCUUUUCUCUUUCUAUCAUUUCCAUUCUCUUUCACUCUCUCUUUCAUUUUCUCUUUCUUUCUCUCUCAUUUUUUAUCUCUAUCUUUCUUCUUUUUCCUCUCUCUCUCUCUCUCUUCCUUGGCGAUUCUAUGGAUUUUACAAUGAUGGUUGGUGACCUGAUACCACUGGGAAGUAAUUAUCAUUUGCUUUGUUGCUGCUGCGUGUUAAUUGGUCACAAAACUGAUUAAUUUACUCCAACUACAAGAGUUAAUCAAAGAGGAAAAAAGAUGAUCUUUUGAUGGUUGUUUACGUUUAUGAUAUGUCUUGAAAAGAAAGAAUGAAAGAGAGAGAGAGAGAGAGAGAAAGUAAGAAGAUCUUUAUUACUCUUUGGUGUUGCUUAAGGCAUAAAGAAAAUAGAGAGAAAGUGGAAAAUCUCUUCUUCAUCAUCAGAAUCAGAAUCAUCAUCUCAAACUCGUUUUCGUAAUUACAAUUAACCCCAAAAAAAAGAUCGCAGAUGAGUUGAUCAAAAUUCAACCUCGAAUUGAAAAAAUUUACCUGAUUGUAGUUAAUCAUCAAGAUUACUCUUCAGUCUUAUUGAUUGAACUUUAUUGAUUUUGUCAAUAUUUAACUGCUUCCAAGUUUUCCUUUGAAUAUAAUGUAUUCAUCUAAAUUGUUACAUCUCUUCCUCUCUUCAUCUUUUGAUUAUCAUCAAAUUUUCAAUGCACUUUUAACUGUUAAUUGUUUUUCGGUUAACCCUCUCUUUGGAAAAUAGCAAUAACCAAUUUGGCACCCAAAUGAUUAACUUACAAGUUUAAUUAUCCUCUCAUCAAGACAAUUAGCAUCGUAUUACAAUGAGAUUCCCAUUCACACACUCACAAUGCGACUGAUUAACGAUUUAAUUAGCUCAACUCAUCAUUUCGCUAUCAAUUGGAUCACUCAAAUUGUCACCAUCUUUCUAAUUGUUUUCCGUUACUCGCGAAACAAUUAACUAACAAGCAAUCGCGAUGAUGAUCAUACAAUUGACAAUUUGUUUUCUUUUUUCCAUCUUCAGGUUUUGUCAAUAUUUUUCUCAUAAAUUUCCAUGUUUUUCAUUCUGUUGUUAGGUGAUGAUCAUCAAUCGAGUUAAUAGUUGGUUCCAAAUAAUCUGAAUUAAUAAACUUCAUGGUGUAUAAUAAGUGAAUUGAUUUUCUUUCUGAGAACCAACAACAAAAAUCAAAGAGAAUGAACAAAAAUGAGGAAAUUUUUUCUUUCGAAAACAAAAAAUUGACCAACGAAAAUGAACAUUCAGGAAUAUCAAUCAAAUUAUGUAAAAACGAACUGAGAGAGAGAGAGAGAGAGAGACUUACGAAACUAACGGCGAUUUAUUCUGAAUAAGUUCUGAUUGUUUUUUUCUAAUUCGAUUCGAAGAUAUUUUUUCAUUUUCUUCUAUUGAAAUUCAGUUGUAAUCAUGAAUUUUUUUAAUUCUUUUACAAUUUAUAUUUCGAAUCUAUUAGCUGAUGGAAAAAAGCAUUAAGCUCAUAACGGUUUAUAUUAGAGAUAUAAAUUCAAUUAGAGAUAUUGAACAGAUUAAUUAACUAAAUUGUUUGUACUCGUGAAUGUCAGGGUCAGUUUAGAGAAUGGGAUAAACUUGGAAAUGAAUUGUUUAGUAAUUAACUGAUUCUCUUUUGGACCUUUUCGUUAAUCUAUGUGAUAAAUUUGGUCUUAAUUGUUGUCUCUCUCUCUCUCUCUUUUUCUCAUCACAAUUUUAACAUUGAUUGUGAUUCGAAAAAUGUUUCAACUAUUAACUGUAUUUAAGAUGAUGGUGAUUCAAUUGUGUAAACAAUUAACAUCAACUAAAUGGUCAGUCGAUUACAAAAUCCUCUUCUCAUCAUUGGGCAUCUCAAGUUACUUUUCAACAGACAAUGAGGACUACAAUUUAACUGAAACCAUCAAUUGUACACAAUCAAGAAAAGAUCAUCAAGAGAAAAAGAGAGAGAGAGAGAAAAAAAAGAUUUUUAAUAAUCAACAGAACAAUUUACUGAUCACGAAACAUUAAUUUCGUUUUUUUUUCUCUCUUUUCUUCAUCAACUUCGAAAAGUGAAAUUCUUUUUUUUUAUCAAAAAGAAAAUUAAGAAAUAUAAUUUCACUUUCUGUUCGCAAAUUUUUUUCUCUCUUCUAACUACAUUUUCUCAACGAAUCAACUCAACAAUUAACAUUCAAUCAUUUUCCAUCAUUGGGUUGAUUCAUUGAGAGAAAAAUUUACAGUUAACAGAGUUUCAAAUUUGGCGCGUUCGAAAAUUUCGCUUACCCGUUUCCAUGGAAACGAUUGACCUUAAAGCUUAUUUGAAGUUUCUGAUUGUUUUGAUUAAAUUUGAUUCUCAAGUCAAUUGAAUUUAAUCAAAGUGAACACAAUUAAUGUUAAUGUUUAAUUGUUGCUGUUGGUGAUUAGAUUAUCUUGUUAAUUUGAUGUAGUGACUUGUAGCGUCAUCUGUCAUUAACCAUAACAAUAUUUUUUUCCAUUUGUUUUGAUUGUUUAAGUUUAUUUGUUUUCUUAAUUGUUGACCAGUAAUUUUAUUUACUUUUGAGUACAAACAGUUUGAUUUAAUUAAUUUAAAAUGUUUAUUUUCAUUGUAAUUUCUAUUCAUCAAAUCUUCUUUGUCUUUUUCUUUCUCUCUCAAGUUCACGUUUGAUUGCUGUUAAUCACUUAGACUUGUUGUGUUCAUUUCAAGCGUUAGUUUAUCAACUAUGGAAAUUUUUUUAUGUUAAUACAACAUUAAUUGUGAUAAUCUACUGAUUGUUUGGUGUUCAUCUAUCUAAUAUAAUCUCGGAGAUAUUGUCGGAUUUGUGUCUUCUUUAAUCUGUUGCCGAACCCUCAUUGAAAUAUUGUGAAAUCAAGGAGACGAUCGAAAUCAAUUUACUCUUUAACUUUUUUGUUAAUCAUCUUUCCAAUUGAUCAUGUUUCAAUCUUAAUUAGAAAGUAAUCAAUUAACUCAACUUUAAACUUGUUUUCUCUUCCAAAUCAAAUAGGAAAUAAUUGUUUUUGGCAAACAAA
Molecule: long non-coding RNA, 4043 nt
Organism: Panonychus citri (citrus red mite)
Lineage: Eukaryota; Metazoa; Arthropoda; Arachnida; Trombidiformes; Tetranychidae
Exons: 5
Source: RefSeq, a predicted model, not a curated record